AGUGAACGCUGGCGGUAGGCCUAACACAUGCAAGUCGAACGGCAGCACAGUAAGAGCUUGCUCUUACGGGUGGCGAGUGGAGGACGGGUGAGGAAUACAUCGGAAUCUACUUUUUCGUGGGGGAUAACGUAGGGAAACUUACGCUAAUACCGCAUACGACCUACGGGUGAAAGCAGGGGAUCUUCGGACCUUGCGCGAUUGAAUGAGCCGAUGUCGGAUUAGCUAGUUGGCGGGGUAAAGGCCCACCAAGGCGACGAUCCGUAGCUGGUCUGAGAGGAUGAUCAGCCACACUGCAACUGAGACACGGUCCAGACUCCUACGGGAGGCAGCAGUGGGGAAUAUUGGACAAUGGGCUCAAGCCUGAUCCAGCCCUACCGCGUGGGUCAAGAAGGCCUUCGGGUUGUAAAGCCCUUUUGUUGGGAAAGAAAAGCAGCAGGUUAAUACCCCGCUGUUCUGACGGUACCCAAAGAAUAAGCACCGGCUAACUUCGUG
This 492-nucleotide ribosomal RNA is filed under the name uncultured bacterium. RNAcentral's name for it is "partial 16S ribosomal RNA". It matches the Rfam family "Bacterial small subunit ribosomal RNA", at positions 29 to 507 of the family's 1533-position model. The record is from RNAcentral.